AUUCGUUUUCUCUUUAUUUAGAAUUAGGGAUCAGUUAGAUAUCUCUAACACACUCCCUCUGCCCUCCCAAGAAAAGGAAAAAGAUCAAACAACCAACCUCAAACCUCAUCUUCGACACACAUUUCUAUUUAGGUAACUGAUAUUCUGAUUUUUUUAUUUUAUUUUUUCAGAGAACAUUUUUAAGCUAUAGUCUCUGCCACUGCCUUCUGUUGAACUCUGCCACUGCUCUUCCUUGCAAGCCCUUUGAGAUCUAUUAAAUUUUCAUCUUCUAUCCAUAUUCUGCUGUGAUUGCUUUUGGCACAGAUCCUUCACUAACGUGGUCAAGAAAUGCACGCAGGCUAGGAAAAAGACAUGGAUGAUCUAAAAUUCCUUUUCCAGGUUAUUUCCUGGCCUCCCUUCCGUGACCUAUGACCGAUGAUGACCUUUAGCUAGAGAAUGUGACAUUUUGUUCUCCUCUGGCUGACAUGUGAUGCCCUCAUUAUUCAAAGGUUUACUGAUAUCAUACCAGAAUGCUGGAAAGCAUGAGAGAAGGAUUUCCUGGAUACCAUCUCUGUUCAAACAAGGAUAAAGUGCAGCCAAAGAAGGAAAGACAAACAAAAGAUUUAAAGCGUUGCUAGAGAAGGAAAGAACUAGAUGAGAAACCACAAUCUGGAUGUAAUUAAGAGGAAUUCAGCACUGCUCUUCUCUGUGAUGCCACUCAUUACCUGUGCAAGACCUUUUCAACAUAGAAGCAGAAGACAAACACUUGCAAAGGGAAAACAACUCCCUGUAACUACAUACUGCAUCUCUCACCACGCUUUUUAAUCUCUAACACACUAGGAGCAUGUGCCAGAUAGCAUGUGUACCUUUCAGAGAUAACCUGGAGUUACACAGCCACCAGCUCAAGCAACAUGAACUUCAGCCUCACACGGCCUGUUCCAAUUUGCCCACGCUAAGCCUUCAUGUUCCCACAGCAAAUGCCAGUGCCUUGAGUUUGCUGGAUACAGAUACUCCAAGGGACUGCUUAGUUUUACAGGAUCCUGCAGCACUUCCAGAACUGCUGAGAACCUGGGCCAUAUCUGUCAGCUGAGAUGGCAGAAGAAGAAAUCCCCAUUGUACAGCUUGUAAAUGAAGAGGUCUUGCUGGACUAGAUAACUGUACAGAGUGAAGGAAAUACUUGAUGAAGACUCCACAAAUUCCUCAUUAUUUCUUUGUUUCACCUGCCUCAUGAAUAUUUGCAUGAACAGAUUUUGGCUCACACUGGGAGAUACCCUCUCAUAUAAAUAUCUAUGGUAACAUAGCAACAAGGGAUUUGGUGCAUAAAACUACUUUUUUUAACUGAUGUCUCUUAGUUUCUAAAAUGAUCAUUUCUAAAAUGAAUUUGAAACCUAAAUUCAUUUUCUCUCAAACAUUUUCAACCAUGAUUCUGCACAAGUGUUAUUAUGGCUUCACUCUUUAGUUACAAAUGUUUUGAAAAUAAUUUAUAUUUGACUUGAUAUUGAAACAGUGCCAUUUGUAAGAUGAUCUUCAGGUGGUCAUUCUAUGGCAUGCUGUUUUCUACCAUUUGUAUUUUAAAAUUAAUCAUGAAAUCCUUCCACCAUAGAUUAAAUAAAAUAUCAUAAAGUAUAAAAACAAGGGCUGUACCUGAGGCUUGAAAGUUGCUAUUCCUGACAGCACUUCAUCUUUUUCAUACCCAUAUUGGCUUUUAUCCCGGCCCAUCUAUUCCUUAAUGUAACUGUUAUAAAUUGAUGUAAAGUGCCAUAAAAUAUAAUAAACAUGAAUCAAUAUUUCUUGGUUAAAAAACUUAGAAAUGCUGAUGAAGCUCAAGUUUAUUAUAGAUGUCCUGAACCCACAAUGUGCCUUUAUUUUUUUUUUACCUUCAUCAUUUUUUCAGGUCUUGAGUUCAUGUGUGCAUACACACUCACUCUUCACAAAUCAAAGAGGCAGUGAAAAUUAAAA
Gallus gallus (chicken) is the source of this 1938-nucleotide long non-coding RNA. Lineage: Eukaryota; Metazoa; Chordata; Aves; Galliformes; Phasianidae. The record is from Ensembl.